CCUCUUAGAUUAGCAAGCAAUUAUUCCUUUCUGAGCUUUCCUGCAGAGAAAGGCAACAUGUCAGUGGUGUAAAAGAAGAAAAGUCUCCUUGUGAACACCAGUUAAGAGGUGAUGAACUCGUUUUGCUGGGCUAUCCCUUUCCUUCUACAUCUGUCUGGCCUGCCACCUUUGCACUCACACAGUCACAAAUCUAGGGGGAAGGUAACUGGAGCUUUGCUUUCUCAGAGUCCUACCCCUAUUAAGAACUCCAGGAAAGGGAC
This 260-nucleotide long non-coding RNA is filed under the name Chrysemys picta bellii (western painted turtle). RNAcentral's name for it is "lncRNA (ENSCPBG00000019097.1)". Lineage: Eukaryota; Metazoa; Chordata; Testudines; Emydidae. The record is from RNAcentral.